UGUAAAAAAAAAAAAAAAAUUAUAUAUAUAUAUAUAUAUAUAUAUAUAUAUAUAAAUAUAUAUUGCUUAAGACAAAAAACAGAUAAUGAAAGGACAGACAAGCAGCUCAUUCAAGCCAUCCAACUUUUACUCACAUUCCUUUUUCUUUUACUUUAACUUUCCUUUCUUCUUACGUCGAGAGUCUCGUGUUCUAAGUUAAGUUUUGCUGCAAAGUUCAACCAAAGACUCAAACUUAAGCCGCAACAAACCAACUAACUGAAUACAUUCCAGGGGUAUAAAAGGGGAUGAGACUGACUUCUAAGGAAGUGUAUCAUUCGGGGUUUCGGAAUUGACGUCAUUUCUGGUGCGCCGUGUUUAUGUCCUGGAGGUAAGAGCUAUUGGUGGCAGUUGCAUUACGAAUAUUUUAUGUUAGAAGGGGUAACUUGCACACCAUAGGCUAAUUUCGCACUUCCACGUUAGUUGCUUCCGGUUAUCCAGAAGCAAGUCGUUCUGUUGUGUGCCUCAGUGUAGCAAUUCAAAACAAAAACAACCUUAUUUCAGUUUUCACGACUUCCCAUCAAAUGCACAUCAAAGAAUAAGUGGGUAUGUGCAAUCAGAAGAGAUGAAGGGUCGACGUUUGUAAUUUGCAGAGGCAGUACGUUAGUCUGUAGUCAACAUUUCACCACUGCUGACUACAUUCAGGGAAGUUGUCGUCUGAAGGUUGGUGUAGUUCCCAGUCGUUUUCAGUGGAACAAUUUUUAUGUACUACCUUAAAAGCAGUCUGCACUCGAGAGAUCUAGUGCUCAACAAGGGGUAGAUGUGUGUGCCCCGAAGAGUAUGGAUGUCCUGACUAAUGAUAGUUUGGAAGUUAGCAUCAAGGACCAUGACUACGUGGCACACACCCCUCCCGGUAAGUAUCUGAGUUUAAGUGUAGAGGCAAAAUGUUCACACAGUAGUGUAAAUAUUUGGGUACUUCAGAAGUCAGAACCUGCACCUGGAAAACAUCGUAUAAUAUUCAGUUAUCAUUAUGAACUUGCAAAUUUGUAUGCUAAUGAAGAGUAAGACAAUAAAAUACUUAUUAUAUUACUUUUCAAAUGUAUUAUACUGUGUUUUUCCAACUCUAUACAUUAUAUACACUGGCUUUUAGAGCUGCUUUACAGCAGGUUUAAAAGUGUUUGCAUCUCUGAAUUCACUGUUUAUUCUUGUAACGGUGCUUUGAUCAGUAUUGUAUAAAGUGCUACAUAAUUAAUCCACUUGAGUAGUUUCAUGUUUUUUUUUCUUUUCAUUUCUUUAUUUAACCUUUAAAUUUGUUUGUCAUUUUGUAGGUGCACUGGAUGAAGCCUUGGAAUACAUGGCAGAGCUGGAGGCUAGGCUAAAGAGAAUUUCACUGGAGACACCAACUACUUUUAGUAGGUUUUGUGUGUCUGAUCACACAAUCCGCUACUACACCAGGCUUCCCUCACAAGAAGUUUUUCAGAUCUUCUGGGAGUCUGUUUGUCCAUCUGCCACAAACCUUGUGUACUGGACAAAAGCACAGAGGAUGGGUCAAGAAGCUUCCCCAACACCAAGUCCUGCACGGAAAAUCCAGCUCAUGGAUGAGCUCUUCAUGUACUGCUGCCGUGUAGCUGCUGGCCUUAGGAAGAAAGUAAUUGCUGACAUCUUUAUUGUAAGCAUGGCCACAGUAAGCAGGACAGUCAUAAAAAAAAUGGACCGAAAGCAUGAUGACUGCAGGGUUUUUUUUAGUGCAAUCAGCUUGGUGAAAUUAAAAAUACAAUUCGUGUCUGUGACAGACGGUGUUUACGGAGCAUGACUGAUGAUCCAAAAUAGCCUAAGCUGACUAUUAAAAAGAAAAACAUCAAUACACAAAUAAAAUAUCCUCUGGAUGGUUAUGUCUGAUUGUGUGUCAGUCACAAAGUCACACCACUGCAGACCGGUUACUGCAAGCUGGCCUUGAAACUGCGAAUAAUAUUUGUGUUUCUUUGAGUUUGGCUUGACCUUUUGGAUUUUAAUGAAUGAAGCCUGACCUACACUUUCAGCAGAGGUGCUUUUCACUUCCACCAGACCGAAUGGGAAGAUUUCAGAUGGGUCAUAUACUCUCCCAUCUGGACUGGCUCCCAGAUGUGCCGCAAGUAUGUGUGCUGCCAAUGACUGGCUAGCAGAUUCUCCAAACACAUGACAAACUUCCCUGAACCUGCUUGAGGUGACUCUUGGUUGACGUACUUGUGCCAGGCAGCACGUUUUGGCUGUAGUCUAAUACCGCGCUCAAUCUGACUAGAUAAGAUGUGGGACACUUGUAUGGACUGCAAAUGAAAGGACUGGCCGUGAAUGGGAACAAAGAUUCGUACUAAGCUGACUACCAGGCACUGGCAGAUUGCUGAUCUUCCUGCUGUAGAUUUCCCCAGUCGGGAGUGGAUAGUGAUAGGAAAGAGGGCUGCCAUGAGGUAAAUGACCAAACUGCGAGUGGACCAACUCCAUUUUUGACAUCCCUCCUAGUAUAUGAGCCAACAAAGGUUUUGGGUGAUCACCUUGACGACCGGAAUGUGUUCCCAGCCUGUGGUGGCGCAUUGAGAUUCAGGAGGCUCGAACCUUAUUGACCUGAGGAUUUGAAGUGGGAAUUGGGGUACCAGUACUAGCCGGUGUCCUUUGUGUGUGGUGGUGGUGCGGCUGUCGGUCUGCAGCGUUCACAACGGGGGUAUUGGUGCUGUAUUGAUGUGUUUAUCCGAUAGGCAAGACGAAUUCCCCAGUUCUGAAGUGAUAAAAUUGUGUUUGUGUGGAUGUGCAAGAAGUUUAUGAUUGAUGUACCUUUUUUAAUUUUUAUACAUUAAAGAGACUGGACUAUUUUCUUGAAAGUGUUUAUUGAAUAAAUUGUGUGAAACAUUCCAUCAUUUUCCGAUAUCUGUCUCAGCCACUACGUAUCUGUGUGCUUGUGGUACUUCGUGUACCUGUGGGUCCCCGGCCAAUUUCCGGGGUGAAGUAGUGUAUUUGUUGCCAUAAUUGGCGCCGUGUUAAGCUUUUGAUAGCAGACUGCGUGGUGAGAAAUAUCACUUAUGAAAAAAGAAUUCAUUACAUUUGGUUAUCCAUAUUGGAAAAUGCAAAUGGGUUCUAUAGAAACUAUGCCUAUAGAAUCAAUAUCUAUCUUUAGAUGUAAAAAAUGGUUCAUUUAUUAAUCAUUAAAUGAGUUGGAUUAAAUAAUAGACAAAUGUAUUAAACUGAAUGAAAAGCGAUGCAAAUCAAAAGUUUGAUAGUAAUAGCAUUAUGAAAGGCAGUUACUGUAAACAAAACAUUUAUAAAGAUGAAACACUUACUUUGUUAUAUUAGUACUAAGAGUUUUGAAAAUGUACCAAUUUUGCUUGUGAAAACUGCACCAAAGCAAUUAAAAAACCUGUAAAACAUAAUAAAGCCUUUGGGAACUCUAUAACCACAUUUAAUUAGCUUUAGUUGUGAGGCAAGCAUAAACUGAACCCAUGAAUGUGCUGAAACUGAAUAGCAAAUAUAGCCAAGACAGAAACAAAAAAAGAGUCCUGUCUGAAAGAGAUUACAAGAAUAUCGUUCCUUGGUUAUAUAUAUUAUUAUACAGUAGCUCUGGUGUAAACAUCAAUAUUUUCUUAAAAUUAGAACAGCUUUUAAAACUUAAUUAAGAGUUAUCGUCCUUCAUGUGAACAGAACUACAAACUGUUAUACUUGGCAG
Molecule: long non-coding RNA, 3667 nt
Organism: Ctenopharyngodon idella (grass carp)
Lineage: Eukaryota; Metazoa; Chordata; Actinopteri; Cypriniformes; Xenocyprididae
Exons: 3
Source: RefSeq, a predicted model, not a curated record